CUUGAAUUUAAAUCUCAAUAAAAAUUAAUUAGAUAAAAAAAUAACAUUUAUUUAAAAUAUAGAAAAUAUACUUAAUAAUUGAAGAGAGGUCAUAGUAUUUCAUGAACACAAAUCUUAGCCUAAUUCAUCUAUGAGGAAAGUUUCAAUUGGGCUUGAAAACUCAAGGCCGAACAUAGCUUUUUAAAUGGAGGACGUCAGGCCAGCCUUUAGGGCUGUGAAUAGGCGUCGCCUGAUAUUAUUUCAAUCCGUUGAUUACAACAUUACAACCCUGCGAACACUUGGUGCAUGUGGUGUUGAUUACUGGUAUUUGUCUACUGCAACUGGGUUUGUCGAUCACUUGUUCCUUAGGGACGCUGACCGUGACAGCUCCAUUAGCAAAACAAGCCUUCGUUUCUAAAGGCUUGGUGUUUUCAGGCAACCUAAAUCGUUUCAUGAAUUCGCCGCUGUAGCUCACCACAUGCCAUUUUUCUUCUUUCUUUAUGCACCUUUUGCCGCUUAUUCUCAGCACGGUACCUUCAUCAACAUACACCGUCACUUCUUCUUGCUUUAACCCUGGAAGUUCCAGCUUGUACACCCAUGCAUUUGGUGUCUCCUUUAUCUCCACUUUAGCAUUGAUGAACGUAGUCGUUUCAGUGGGGACACUUUGCAGUGAUGAACCUGGAGAAAUGCUGAUCUGACAAUCGUUGCAUCUUGAACCCAUCUUUGUAAUUAUGUGAGAUCGAUCGGACUCUAGAUAAUGAUCAAAUUUACCUUGGAUAUGUUGUUGAUGAAAAUUGAGAAAUAACAUUGGUAUUUAUAGAAAAGAUUAACAUGAAGGAAAG
This 821-nucleotide unclassified non-coding RNA is filed under the name Hevea brasiliensis (rubber tree). Lineage: Eukaryota; Viridiplantae; Streptophyta; Magnoliopsida; Malpighiales; Euphorbiaceae. The record is from RNAcentral.